This 117-nucleotide ribosomal RNA is filed under the name Neogale vison (American mink). Lineage: Eukaryota; Metazoa; Chordata; Mammalia; Carnivora; Mustelidae. The record is from RNAcentral.
GUCUACGGCCAUACCACCCUGAACGCGCCCGAUCUCGUCUGAUCUCGGAAGCUAAGCAGGGGCGGGCCUGGUUAGUACUUGGAUGGAAGUUAUUUCUGAUUAGCAAGUCCUUAGAUA